AGUGAACGCUGGCGGUAGGCCUAACACAUGCAAGUCGAACGGCAGCACAGUAAGAGCUUGCUCUUACGGGUGGCGAGUGGCGGACGGGUGAGGAAUACAUCGGAAUCUACUUUUUCGUGGGGGAUAACGUAGGGAAACUUACGCUAAUACCGCAUACGACCUACGGGUGAAAGCAGGGGAUCUUCGGACCUUGCGCGAUUGAAUGAGCCGAUGUCGGAUUAGCUAGUUGGCGGGGUAAAGGCCCACCAAGGCGACGAUCCGUAGCUGGUCUGAGAGGAUGAUCAGCCACACUGGAACUGAGACACGGUCCAGACUCCUAAGGGAGGCAGCAGUGGGGAAUAUUGGACAAUGGGCGCAAGCCUGAUCCAGCCAUACCGCGUGGGUGAAGAAGGCCUUCGGGUUGUAAAGCCCUUUUGUUGGGAAAGAAAAGCAGCAGGUUAAGACCCCGCUGUUCUGACGGUACCCAAAGAAUAAGCACCGGCUAACUUCGUG
Molecule: ribosomal RNA, 492 nt
Filed under: uncultured bacterium
Lineage: Bacteria
Description: partial 16S ribosomal RNA
Rfam family: Bacterial small subunit ribosomal RNA
Source: RNAcentral